This 484-nucleotide ribosomal RNA is filed under the name uncultured bacterium. RNAcentral's name for it is "partial 16S ribosomal RNA". It matches the Rfam family "Bacterial small subunit ribosomal RNA", at positions 30 to 507 of the family's 1533-position model. The record is from RNAcentral.
AUUGAACGCUGGCGGCAGGCCUAACACAUGCAAGUCGAGCGGAUGAAGGGAGCUUGCUCCUGGAUUCAGCGGCGGACGGGUGAGUAAUGCCUAGGAAUCUGCCUGGUAGUGGGGGAUAACGUCCGGAAACGGGCGCUAAUACCGCAUACGUCCUGAGGGAGAAAGUGGGGGAUCUUCGGACCUCACGCUAUCAGAUGAGCCUAGGUCGGAUUAGCUAGUUGGUGGGGUAAAGGCCUACCAAGGCGACGAUCCGUAACUGGUCUGAGAGGAUGAUCAGUCACACUGGAACUGAGACACGGUCCAGACUCCUACGGGAGGCAGCAGUGGGGAAUAUUGGACAAUGGGCGAAAGCCUGAUCCAGCCAUGCCGCGUGUGUGAAGAAGGUCUUCGGAUUGUAAAGCACUUUAAGUUGGGAGGAAGGGCAGUAAGUUAAUACCUUGCUGUUUUGACGUUACCAACAGAAUAAGCACCGGCAAACUUCGUG